AUAUUAUAAUUUUAUUUUCUACGUACGUGACUUUACCGAAUGAACCAAGAUUAUAGUUAUUAUUUGACAUUGUACAGGGUAGUCCAGAUGUCUUGCGACCCCCAUUUAAUUAUCUAAAACGUAAUAUAAGUGUUUGUAUACCAAUGGGUGUGAAAACAGAAAUGAAUAAGUAAAGAAAUGUUACGGGUCAAAUAAUUGGGGGAGGGGGUCAUUAGACAUCUGGAGCAACCCUCUAAUAACAUCACCAACAUUCUCAUUCGCUCCGUGCAUAGCUGCUCAUCCGUGGAUGUCCAAUGUAGAGCCUGAAGUCCCAGCGUAGCCAUGAUAGAUGCGGCUGAUGAACAUUCUCGAGUCACAAACGCUGCAAGUGGUGUCAAAUCUCACCGUUCAAUUUGUGAUUAUUUUUACUUGCCGACAGAUUUUGCUUCAUAAUGGAAAAAAAACAUCACAUGCAACACCAUAAUGUGUUUGUGUUAUUUAAUAGCGUUAUAGUUUGUUGGUGUCACUGAAUUAUUUUUUUUUGAUCAUGGAUAAAAGUUAGACAGUAUGUAUCUAUGUUGAACCUCUUUUGCACUGUACUUCGCCAACCGUGCUAAUCAGAGGUGCAAUGAUACACCGCUUGAUAAAGAUACACCUUGAUGAUACACCUCUUGAUGAUGACGGGAAUGAUGAUUAUUAUAGCCACAUGGUGGUGGUGGCGGCGACGGUGAUGCUGUUGAUUUUGGAUGAUAAUGGUGACGAUGACGGUGUUUUUUGAAGAAUGGAAUCUCUGGCAGGAGUGGACCAAGUGGAUAACCAAGUUCGCUGUGAGCUGGAUCCUCGGAAAAUGGAGUCUGUUCUGAAACGUGUGGACAAGCGACUGGCCACGUUUGAAUCCAACUGGUCUUACUUGUCGUAUGGAAAAACACCCACCCUGAACCCAAACUCGGCACAUCCAAAAUUGAAGUUGUCCAUGGAUUUGCAUACAGUCACGUGGUGCAGCCAGGACCAAGGAUAUCCGAACCACCCAGACCGGUUCGACUCAACGCUGCAGGUCAUUUGCUCCGAGAGCUUUGCCGCAGGUUGUCAUUACUGGGAAGUGGAUGUCCGAGACGGCUGCAAUUGGGCCGUGGGAGCGACCUACAGCGCCAUCAAACGCAAGGGAACCGACACCGCCUGUGUGCUCGGGCGCAACAGAAUCUCCUGGGGAUUGUGGUGCUGGUCUGCACAGUAUUUAGUGUACCAUGACGACGUCAAAACACCGCUGGCGUUUCCCGAGCCCUUGCACGCGGUCGGGGUGUACGUAAACUUUGAGGCGGGUGUGCUGGCCUUCUACAACGCCGACACGAUGGCCCUGCUGUACACGUUCGAAGAGCCGUUCAGGAAGCCGCUGCAUCCCGCGCUUUACCUGGCAGGAAAGUCUCUGCGCAUUGUGCAGCUGUAGUCGCCAUGUUUUUGUGCUCCCAAUUAUUUACAUGAGAGCGGCUUGGAAAGGUCUUUUUAAUAAAUCACUUUUCAGAUCAAAUUAUAAUUUAUGGGGGGGGGGGGGGGUUGUUAUUGGCAUUUGCCUUAAUAACUUAUUAAUCAUGUUUUCUAAAAUGAAUAAAAAUGUACCUACAAUUAAUUUUAAGUCAUCAAUGUGCAAGCUAAAAUCAUGGAUUGUACUGGGACAGUUGGGAAUGAGAACAAUAACCAAUGCAUUGCAGCUGAUGGAAUGUAUUAACACUGCAUCAGUGAGGGUUAAAGCCAUAGGUGCAAGAUUUAUCUGUGCACAAUCUUUUGGGUGACAGGACUUCAAGUUAUUAAGUACUGUAUUCGUUUGCAGCUUGAGAGACACUCAGCAGUGGCCUUGAUAAGUGGUCAUCAGUGAGCCACAUCACAUUCAGGAAUGCCAAGGGCUCAGUGGGGGCAGGAGUGAGGAAGCUGUAUAUAUUGUGGUUCCCAUGAAAAUUGCAGCAAUGUACAGAUUGGAAAACAGAAAACAAUUACAUCAGUACUGCAUUAGUGAGAGUUAAAAGUGGGAAGUUUACAAGGUGUAAUGCAAAUUCAACCAAAAUACAGUACUUUCAGAAUGGUUUAUCACCACGGUACAUACAGUGAGGGAAAAAAGUAUUUGAUCCCCUGCUGAUUUUGUAUGUUUGCCCACUGACAAAGAAAUGAUCAGUCUAUAUUUUUAAUGGUAGGUUUAUUUGAACAGUGAGAGACAGAAUAACAACAACAACAAAUCCAGAAAAAACGCAUGUCAAAAAUGUUAUAAAUUGAUUUGCAUUUUAAUGAGGGAAAUAAAUAUUUGACCCCCUCUCAAUCAGAAAGAUUUCUGGCUCCCAGGUGUCUUUAAUACAGGUAACGAGCUGAGAUUAGGAGCACACUCUUAAAGGGAGUGCUCCUAAUCUCAGCUUGUUACUGUAUAAAAGACACCUGUUCACAUAAGCAAUCAAUCAAUCAGAUUCCAAACUCUCCACCAUGGCCAAGACCAAAGAGCUCUCCAAAUAUGUCAGGGACAAGAUUGUAGACCUACACAAGGCUGGAAUGGGCUACAAGACCAUCGCCAAGCAGCUUGGUGAGAAGGUGACAACAGUUGGUGCGAUUAUUCGCAAAUGCAAGAUACACAAAAUAACUGUCAAUCUCCCUCAGCCUGGGGCUCCAUGCAAGAUCUCACCUCGUGGAGUUGCAAUGAUCAUGAGAACGGUGAGGAAUCAGCCCAGAACUACACGGGAGGAUAUUGUCAAUGAUCUCAAGGCAGCUGGGACCAUAGUCACCAAGAAAACAGUUGGUAACAACUGUUUUCUUGGUGAAGGAAUGCUGCCUAUGACCCCAAGAACACCAUCCCCACCGCCAAACAUAGAGGUGGAAACAUUAUACUUUGGGGGUGUUUUUCUGAUAAGGGGACAGGACAACUUCACCGCAUCAAAGGGACGAUGGACGGAGCCAUGUACCGUCAAAUCUUGGGUGAGAACCUCCUUCCCUCAGCCAGGGCAUUGAAAAUGGGUCGUGGAUGGGUAUUCCAGCAUGACAAUGACCCAAAACACACGGCCAAGGCAACAAAGGAGUGGCUCAAGAAGAAGCACAUUAAGGUCCUGGAGUGGCCUAGCCAGUCUCCAGACCUUAAUCCCAUAGAACAUCUGUGGAGGGAGCUGAAGAUUCGAGUUGCCAAACGUCAGCCUCAAUACCUUAAUGACUUGGAGAAGUUUUACAAAGAGGAGUGGGACAAAAUCCCUCCUGAGAUGUGUGCUAACCUGGUGGCCAACUACAAGAAACGUCUGACCUCUGUGAUUGCAAGUACUAAGUCAUGUUUUGCAGAGGGGUCAAAUACUUAUUUCUCAUUAAAAUGCAAAUCAAUUUAUAACAUUUUUGACAUGCGUUUUUCUGGAUUUUGUUGUUAUUCUGUCUCUCACUGUUCAAAUAAACCUACCAUUAAAAUUAUCGACUGAUAAUUUCUUUGUCAGUGGGCAAACGUACAAAAUCAGCAGGGGAUCAAAUACUUUUUUCCUUCACUGUAAUAUAAGGUUUUGAACUUGGAUAAUUUAGUCAGUUCGUUUUGUUGGGCUAUUCAAUGACUGUCGUCUAAUGAGCCGGGCAGUGGCCGUGCAUUCCUGUAAUCCAGCACGGCAAGGGUUAGUGGCUCACACAAAUGUUGUGAAACUCCCUUCCCAGGAAGUGUAGAAUAAUCUCCAUCUGUCACAUCUGUAUGGGAUUUUGUGGGUUUUCUCCGGGUGCUCUGGUUUCCUCCGGCAUGAAGAAAUACUCAUCGUCAAUUGGCUACGAACACAUUUAUAUAUACGCACCUCGGUGUUUGCGGAUUGCACAGCGUUGUGUGAUGCAAUUGCAUAAAUAUAAAUUUUUAAAAAACUACAUUUUAUUUUUGCCAUUUAACUUUUAACAAAUGCAAUGCUUGAAAAAGCUGUAAGGCUUUACAUGAGUUGAAUAGGCCAACAUUUGCUGCAACAUAAAGUGGGCUAAACUUAAUUUAACAAGUAAUAAGUUUGUUCUGGGAUUCUGAUAAAUGAGUGAAAAUUCAGGAGGCAUUAAUCGUCCAUUAAAAGAGAGAAUGCGUUCCUGUAAAUGAUUGACCUUGCCCUUGAAUUGUAUGUGGAGUGUACAUAAAUCUACUAAGGUAUAUUUUUACGACAGGGUUUUGAACGCAUUUUUUAAGGUAAAUUGAAUGCUUUCCAACAGAGAUUUACAUUGAGAUUGCAAUCAUUAUUUGUACUCGGAAUAUUACCUUUUGAACUCAAAGCAUGUGUCAGGAAGUGAUGAGGCUCCUUAAGAUCGCUAAUUGGCUGUUGUUCGACGGGGCAGUUUUGAAGAGUAUUGAGUCACGUGGCAAUCAUGAACAUCUCCCGAGGGCAGCGGUUCUCAACCUGUGGCCCGCAGACCUCUGGUGCCCCGCGAGGCUACCUACUACAUGGGGUCAGCGGAGAAGAAAAAUAAUCGGAAUCUUACAUUUACACUGGAGGAGGAAUCCGAUGAGAUAUGAAGCUCUUUUUCACAGAUGUCCACCAGUGUGGGGCGGGUCAUAAUAAAAAUGACAUCCUUGCCAAGGAAAUGAACAAUUUCAAAUGAAUUGUGGGUAUGGUGGUCAGCGAAAUGUUCGGAGGUUGAAAAGGGGCGCGCAGACUCGGAAAGGUUGGGAACCACUGCCCAAGGGUGCGUCGUGGUGUCUUCAAUAAACCCUGUUCAAAACUCUGCCCGUGUGCACUAUGCUUCUCUUUAUUGAAGACAAGCAUAGUUGUACACCCCUAGCUGCCACUGCAAUUUAGUGGCCUAAAAUACCUAAUAAAUGAACUUGAACUUCUCUAAACAUGCACAGUGGUCCAGCUGUCUUGUUACCCACAUUACAUUCUCUAAAACUUAAUGUGUUUUUAAGUAAGGUGUAUUUAAACCAGAAAUUUAUUUGCAAAGGAAAACAAAUGUCAGGGUUCAAUAAAUUGGGGCGGGGGGUGGUCACAAGACAUCUGAACCACCGUGAACUCUACGGUACACACUGGAAUUGCUAACACUCGGCUGUGGAGUGAUGAGGCACGCGCACAUCGAUCCUUGAGGUGGUCCUUGCGAAAUAAUAAUAAUGAUAGCUCAUCGAAGUCAUCUAUCGUGAGCCAUGUCCUUCCGGAAAGACGUCGAUAUAUAACCAUGGCCUUCAAUCCAUUUCGCUCUGUCCAUAAUAUUAUAUUAUUAUGGGACUUUGCAUUAUAUACUCGCAGUUGCAUAACAUUUAGCAAAUUGCUCAUGUAAAUGAAUUUGCUGUCUUCCCCGACCUCUUGUAGUGCCUCUAAUUUCCCCAGUUAAAACCACAUAUAUAUUCAGCCACUUGUAUUCUCAUUACAUGUCCAAGAUGUGUACAUUUGCCUUCCUCUAAUAAUAGUCUAAUUACUGUAUUCUCAUUAAUUGCAUUGUUGUGUACUCGACUGCUAUCCGUAAUACGAGUUACUCAUCUCGUUUGUCAGUGGCAUGUUUAACAUCCUUCUUAAAAACAUAUUUCUGUUGCAAAAAUUCUGCUUUGUAGUUAUCUUUUUUCUCCUGAUGAUCAAAACGUCGUAGUUUUUUGUUAUUUUUUUGAACCUAUCUACGUGACUUUACUAAAAG
This is a long non-coding RNA of Lethenteron reissneri (Far Eastern brook lamprey), 5562 nucleotides long. RefSeq lists it as uncharacterized. The record is from RefSeq and is a predicted model, not a curated record. Lineage: Eukaryota; Metazoa; Chordata; Hyperoartia; Petromyzontiformes; Petromyzontidae.